AGCCGGCCAGGGAGGCUCGGCCAUUUGGUAGUGGUGCCGGAGACGGACCCCUUUAGAUUUCGGGGCGGCUGAGGAGCGCGGCGGCUGCUCUGUGGCUGAGUGAGGGGGGUGGGCGGAAUGGCGGGGGAAGGGAAGGUGACUGUGCCUCGAGGGCCGAGCCGCCCGGCCUUGCCAGCCAGCCGCCGCCUCAGCGUUCGGCCGGGGGCGGGGCCGCAGGUGCGUUCUGCGAGGGGGAGGGGCGCGGCCGGAGGGGUCGGGUCGGGGUCCCCGCCCGGCCGAGGGCUUCGCGGGGCGGCGCGACGGGGUUGCGGAAGGAGGCGGGCGGCUUGAGGUCCGGGGACCGCGGGCUGCCCAGCGGGAGGGCAGAUGAAAGGCCUGGAAGGAGGAGAGGGGUCAGGGUGCAAUGCCGGGAGGGGCUCGUCGGGUCCCGGGUCCGGCGGCUCGCGCUGGGGAGCGUGGCUGCCCCCGUCACCCCCACCGCGGCUGCCCAGCAGCCCGCGCGCCCCUUCCCCUCCGGCCUCGUCCCUGUCAGGCCGCCACCAUCGCCACCCUCGUAUACAUAAGUCAGUAAAAGCAAGAUGCUUCCACUUUUGGAUGACUUACCGCGCGGUCGCGACCCUUCCCACGAAGAGGCUUUUCACUUUGCUGUCAUAUUAGGUCAGCUUGGAAGAAGUGAUCACCAAGAGACACCCAAGAUCUUGUUUAGGCAAUAAAUGAAUGAAGACCAUGGAUUAAGAACCGUUGCUAGAUAUGUAGAAUAUUAAAAGGUGGAAAAGGAAGGUGCUCAUAACUCCUGGUUUUCUGGACCAAACAUAAUUUCUGGGCUUUAUAGACCUAGUGAAAGAGAACGGCGCACGGUUUAUUCUAAUCGUCCACCUGAGUCAUUCGGUUCGGUUUGGGUUGCCAAGGAGGCUCUAACUGGAGCCCUUUCUCCUGGUUUUUCGGCGUGGUUGCCUUGGGUAUUUUUGAAUCACAUUAAGUUUUAAGAGACCUUAAAGCCCCGAUGCCCACUGGGUUACCGACUUACGGCACUAAGUUGGCUGCCUGUGGCUGUUAAUAAACCACGGGGAUUGUUGUCAACGAGGACAGAUACAUCCUUACCUUUCCACACGACUGUAUUUUAGUGUUUGUUUCUACAUGUCUGCACUCUUCCCCACACGCCUCAAGGUAGUUUUUCUGGAUACAUAUGUUUAUUUUUCAGGAACAGGAGUUCAAAGGAGAGAUAAGCCAGUAUGUAUGUUGCAAAGUUAAAAUACUGUUGCAUAAUAGCAAUCCAGUUUCAUUCUUAGACAUACGAAGUUGAGGAGGAAAUAAAAAGUGACAAUGUAAAUAAAACACAUACAGAAUGCUUACACUGGGGAAGAAGCUGUAGUAACUUUAAUAUUGCAACCUGAUGGAUUGCAAGUGUAAAGCCCUGCAACUAAGGAUUUUACUCAGUAAAUUCUUUCAGAUAAAAUGAUAAAUGGAAUUUGAAGUCUGAUGUUUACUCUGAUUAGGUGGGAAAUGCACCAUAAAAGUUAGAAGUCAUUGUUUUAUUUUAUCUGGGUAUAAAUAGUAUAAUUUAUUUAACUUGUUGACUUGCCUGUCAUCCUCAGAUUUUGUUAAUCUUAUUGAAGCCUAUUUGUAUAGUUGGAAUUUAUUCUAAGUUUUAUUGGCUUCUUUGUAAUACAUGAGGAACCCCAAAUUUCCUAUUUAUGCCAUUGAGACAGUUGUUAUUUCUGGAUAUGGUGUUUAGGAUUGUAUUCAAACAGAACUCUUAUCAAAACAGGUCAAUAUGGUGUGUAUGAUCUGUGUAACAUAGGAGUCCUGAAGUUUGUGUUCUCUUUGAUGGUAAAUGUUCAUUUUCAAUUUAAAAGUUUAACCACAGUUAAGACCACGCUGCUAGCAAUGCAAUAUGAGACAGUGUCUUUCCAGAGGAGUAAUCCCUUAAAAACCAACCAAUCAAAUGCAGAGAUAUGCCCCAUCCAGCUUUGCUAAAUAGAAGCAAAUAGCUCACUUUAUUGUACAAAGACUCAAGAGGAAGACUUAGAAGCCCACCCCCUCCCCCAUUAAAGAGAAAGUACAGAAACAAAUUAGAAUCGAAAAAAUCAUGGCCUGAUUACUAAAUCAAAACGUUAAAUGUGACAGUUGUUUUUAGAAGCAUCUUACAUUUAUACAUUUUGAUGACUUUUGUAUUAAUGUUAGAAAAUUGAAAGAAGGCUUCACUGGAUGUCAGUCGUUACAGAAAUUGAAAUAUCCAAAAGUAUAUGUAUAACCAAUUGAGUAAUUUCCGCUUUCCUUACACACUUGAAAUAAAUUUUCUUUUGCUUUUACAAAUAGAUCUAUAUGUAAGAAAAUUUUCAUAUGAUUUUGCUUUUUUAUUAUUAAAAAAGGAAUAUAGUAAAGCCAAAGCUGAGCUGUAUUUGCCCCACACAACAUGACCAAAUAUAAAAAAAACCACUGCUCUUACAAAUAUCUUAUUUUACAAAGUUGUUUUUUAAAUUACAUUUUAUUGUAUAUUAUAAUAGUAAAUAAGUGUUCUAAGUGGCACUGCAUUUCAGAAAAUAUAGAAAGAAAUCCCAUAUCAAGGAAUCUUGGCUGAAUUUUGAAACGGAGUUGGGAACAGGUAAGAGUUCCUAUCUACUGAGUAAUUCUACAACAGGAAUUGUGUUUGAAAGAUGUAGAGUCUCUAACCUCUGAAACUAGGUUUGAGUCACACUGAGAAGAAUAAAUGAGAUACAAUUCAAAGUUUAACCCCCUAGAGAGAUAGAUGGCCCAGGAAGGAAAGAUCUUCCCGCCUUCCAGAAUAUCCUCCAUCAAGAACCAUUCCAAAUAAAUGAGCAGCCUAUUUUGUUCUCAAAGACAUGAACAAUGAGUGUCCUUAGGCUCUUUUGAAAUGUGUAGGAGAGUACUGUUUUACAAAUAACCAUAUCGUUACUAUUGCCAUUUUAUUAGGUUGGUGCAAAAGUAAUUACCAUUUUUUUUAAAAAAGGCAAAACCACAAUUACUUUUGCACCAAUAGCACAUUUGCCCUUGUUUGGUCUCUAAAGAUGGAGACCCUUUGGUUAGCAUCCUUUUUAUGAGUCAAGCUAAUAUACCCACAGCUCAACUUUUUGUUCUUGAGCUUGAAUCACAUCACUGGCAAUCGGCCGUAGUACUCUCUUACCUACAUCAUGGUUCUGCUGCUUGGACCCCAAAGACAAUGACAUGGAAAAACUCCAGCUUAAUUAUGUUCUUUUUUGUUUGUAUAUGUAAAUAGUUUUUAGGAAUGUAGAUUAUUAUUUUGAAAUCUGUGGUAACAAAUGUGAAAACCACUACAUUUUAUUUAUUUUCAUUGAAUAGCAAAUAAUGUUGAAGCCUGGGAUCUAAAAAGUUAAAUAUUAUUUUAUUUUGCUUAAUAAAGUAUUGGAUAAUUUAGAAAAAGAAUUUUUUUUUAAUGAUUGGAUAGUUACCUUAUUAAUGGAUUGGUCAGGGAGAAAAAGCCCUGUUGGAUGAAAACUGUCAUAUAUGUGACUUUUAAAGUGAAAUUAAUAAGCCAGGCAUGGUGAUGUUCCCCUGUAGGCCCAGCUACUUGGGAGGCUGAAGUGAAAGGAUCACUUGAGCCCAAGAGUUCAAGAACAGCUCGGACAACAUAGCAAGACCUGUUUCUCUAAAAACAAAAAACAGUAAAAAUCUUAAAAACCGCUUAAAGAUGGUUGGUUUCUUUUAAAAAGGAAAAAAAGGCUCAGGUGCAGUGGCUCACGCCUGUAAUCCCAACACUUUGGGAAGCUGCAGGCAGAUAGCUUGAGCUCAGGAGUUCGAGACCAGCCUGGGCAACAUGGUGAAACCCCAUCUUUACCAAAAAUGAAAAAAAAAAAAAAAAAUUAGCCUGGCAUGGUGGCGUGCACCUGUGGUCCCAGCUACAAUAGAGGCUGAGGUGGGAGGAUCCCUUGAGCCCGGGAGGUGGAGAUUGCAGUGAGUAGAGAUCACGCCUCGGCACUCCAGCCUGGGCAACAUAGCCAGAUACUGUCUCAUUAAAAAAAAAAAAAAAAAGGCCGGGCGCGGUGGCUCAUGCCUGUAAUCCCAGCACUUUGGGAGGCCGAGGUGGGCGGAUCACGUGGUCAGGAGAUGGAGACCAUCCUGGCUAACACGGUGAAACCCCGUCUCUAUUAAAAAUACAAAAAAUUAGCCGGGUGAGGUGGCGCACGCCUGUAGUCCCAGCUACUCGGGAGGCUGAGGCAGGAGAAUGGCGUGAACCCGGAAGGCGGAGCUUGCAGUGAGCAGAGAUCACUCCAUUGCACUCCAGCCUGGGCGACAGAACGAGACUCCGUCUCAAAAAAAAAAAAAAAAAAAAGCCAGGUAUGGUGGCUCACGCCUGUAAUCCCAGCACUUUGGGAGGCCAAGGCGGGUGGAUCACCUGAAGUCAGGAGUUCGAGACCAGCCUGGCCAACAUGGUGAAAUGCCAUCUCUACUAAAAAUACAAAAAAAAAAAAAAAAAAAAAAAGCCGGGCUUCGUGGCACGUGCCUAUAAUCCCAGCUACUCGGGAGGCAGAGGCGGGAGACUUACUUGAACCCGGGAGGCAGAGGUUGCCAUGUGCCAAAAUCGCACCAUUGCACUCCAGCCUGGGCAACAAGAGUGAAACUCCAUCUCAAAAAAAAAAAAAAAAAAAUCACUUGCACACUUGUUUGGAAGUCUCUAGAAAUUUUGUGAAUCGGUUUCUUAAAUAUAUUUAUUAAAGACAGUUUUGAAGUAGCAAUGAGGGAAGUUUGUUUACCAUUCAUCAGGAAGAAAACCAGAGCUGUAAGCUCUUACUUUUAGUAUUAAAAUAUGGCUGUGAAGGAAAAAAAUAAAUGCCUUAAAGACAAAUAAUGGAAUGAGGAGCUAUAGAACAAAGUGACAUAAGGCAAUUUUGGUUGAAAAAUAGAAAUGCAAUUAAUUUAGAUUCCACUAAUUUGUUUUAAUCCAUCUAGAGUUGAGGUUUACCUCUAUGAAGAAAAGAAUACUAAAAUCUAUUAAGAUAUGAGGUAGAGAUCAGACUUUUUAAGAACUUUUAAUGUUUUUACCAUUUGCAAAUGGCAUUUAUAACUUUCGUAUACAUAGUAAAAUUAUGUAUACAAUAAUUAAAUCCUCUUAGAUUCUCUGCUUUGUAAUGGCAAUUAUUAUUUGUACCUCUAAGUAAUGAUCUAUUUGUAAAAAAUUUUCUACAGCGCCUCUUGAAUUAGAGAUCAAUUUAAUGCAUUCUGAGAAAUUAGUAAAUUUUUAACGUAUUUCUAGUUGAAAUAUUGGGUUCUUUCAGGCAAGUAUAUGUAUACCCUAAACUUUCUUUGGAAGUUCUGGAUCCUAGCAACUAUAAUAUAAAAACUUUGAAUUCAUUUGUACAUGACGAAAUGAGAUAGCCACGAUAGGUGUUAGAGGACUUUUACCCAGUGGAGGAACAUGUUUUACUCUGCUGCAUUGGUCUUUUUUUUUUUUUUUUCCUUUCUUUUUGAGACAGGGUCUCACUGCCACCCAGGCUGGAGUGCAGUGAUGCGAUCAUGGCUCACUGCAGCCUUGACCUCUUGGGCUCAAGCAGUCCUCCUGCCUCAGCCUCCCAAGUAACUGGGGCCACAGGCAUGCACCACCACACCUGGCUAAUUUUUAAAUUUUUAUAGAGAUGAGGUCUCACCAUGUUGGCCAGGCUAGUCUCAAGCUCCUGGGCUCAAGCGAUCCUCCUGCCUGGGCCUUCCAAAGUGCUGGGAUUACAGAUAUGAGCCGUGGUGCCCAGCCUUGCAUUGGUCUUAUAACUCAAUAAUGUACGUGAAAUUAUUGUAUAUGCCUUCUUGUAUAUGAGAAUUACCACUUCUACAUAUAUAUUGGAGGGCAAGUCAAGUAAGUGUGACAAACAUUUUUCACUAGGCUAGGCCAACUCAUGUCUGUGUUCAUGUUGAGAAGUAAUUCUAUAGAUAAGGCAGAAGAGCAGACAAACUCAGGAUACAAGUGUGCAAAGAUGUAUAACAGACAUGUUGAUCAUUGUAUCAUAGCAUUUUUAUAAUAGCGAAAGAAAGAAAAGAAAGGGGAAGAGGGAAAAUGAAAAAGAAAAAAACAGAAAAGAUUCAUAUGCCCAGGAAAAAAGUCUGGGAGAGUAUGUACCAAAAAAUGUUUAAAAACUUUGAUUACAAUGGUUUUGCAUGGGUGAUGAUGUCAUAGUGGUUUUUGAUUUUGAGGUCUUUUAUUUGUCUAUAUUUAAAAAGUUUUCCAUUGAUAAUUUUUGCAAUGAAACAGGUAUUUUAAUGGAAAUUAUAGGUGUAGAUGAUAUGUGGAAUGUUUAUGCUAGUCAGAAUUUUUGGUGAAGAUAACAGAAAUUUACCUUGACCAACACAAGAAAAAGGCAAUUUUUAUAAGUCUGUCACAGAACCAAAGAACAAGGUCCAGGAAAGAAGAAGCCAGGGAAGCUGGCAAUUUGGAGCACAGCCAAGAUGGUCCCUGCCCUAGGUAAAGUCUUCAGAGGACCUCACACCUCAGAAGUCAUCUCUGCUAUGGGCUGUGAAUCCCACCAUACCUACAAUGAUCUCAGCAUCCUGCCUUUUUGUGUCACUCCCUCGAGGUUCAAAGCCCUUGGCAAGAACAUUUGCAGAUGCCCCAGCUGUCAGAGAGAAAAGAUUAUCUUCCUCCUUUAGCUUCCACAGUGGGAUGUGUGACCCUGCCUCCUGCCUAUUUUAGGACUCUGCCUAAACUAAGUGUUCUGGUGCUAGGUGACCAAAACCAAAAAUCCACGAACAUGUUCUAACAAAAUAAUGCUGUGAAGGUUUCCUGAUGAUCCAUGUUACUCCCAUAGUAUCUCCCCUCUUCCUCCCUACUACUUACCAGCAAGAGACCGUACCACCUAUUUAGGAUCAAUGUAAAGCAGAGCUAAUAUCUGAAAUCCCAGUUUCUUUUCAAAUGCUUCCCUUUCCAAAUUUGAAGCCAGAAGAAACAAUGUAUCACUGCUGAUGUCAAUAAGACUUCCUUGGCUGGGCACCGUGGCUCACACCUGUAAUCCCAGCACUUUUUGAGACCGAGGUGGGCAGAUCAGUUGAGGUCAGGAGUUCAAGACCAGCCUGGCCAACAUGGUGAAACCCCAACUCUACUAAAAAUACAAAAGUUAGCUCAGUGUGGGGGCACACGCCUGUAAUCCCAUCUACUUGGGAGGCUGAGGCAGGAGGAUCGCUUGAACCUGGGAAGUGGA
RNAcentral lists this long non-coding RNA (7163 nucleotides) under Homo sapiens (human). RNAcentral's name for it is "non-protein coding lnc-CORO2B-1:1". The record is from RNAcentral. Lineage: Eukaryota; Metazoa; Chordata; Mammalia; Primates; Hominidae.